RNAcentral lists this transfer RNA (77 nucleotides) under Teichococcus oryzae. RNAcentral's name for it is "Roseomonas oryzae tRNA-Arg". It matches the Rfam family "tRNA". From Rfam's summary of the family: Transfer RNA (tRNA) molecules are approximately 80 nucleotides in length. Their secondary structure includes four short double-helical elements and three loops (D, anti-codon, and T loops). Further hydrogen bonds mediate the characteristic L-shaped molecular structure. tRNAs have two regions of fundamental functional importance: the anti-codon, which is responsible for specific mRNA codon recognition, and the 3' end, to which the tRNAs corresponding amino acid is attached (by aminoacyl-tRNA synthetases). tRNAs cope with the degeneracy of the genetic code in two manners: having more than one tRNA (with a specific anti-codon) for a particular amino acid; and 'wobble' base-pairing, i.e. permitting non-standard base-pairing at the 3rd anti-codon position. Lineage: Bacteria; Pseudomonadati; Pseudomonadota; Alphaproteobacteria; Acetobacterales; Roseomonadaceae. The record is from RNAcentral.
GCGCCCUUAGCUCAACUGGAUAGAGCAACCGGCUUCUACCCGGUUGGUUGGGGGUUCGAGUCCCUCAGGGCGCGCCA